UACGUAGGUGGCAAGCGUUGUCCGGAUUUACUGGGCGUAAAGGGCGUGCAGGCGGUCUGUUAAGUUCAGGGUGAAAGCUCCCGGCUCAACUGGGAGAGGUCCUUGGAUACUGGCAGACUUGAGGGAGGUAGAGGAGAGUGGAAUUCCCGGUGUAGUGGUGAUAUGCGUAGAUAUCGGGAGGAACACCAGUGGCGAAGGCGGCUCUCUGGGCCUGCACUGACGCUCAUGCACGAAAGCGUGGGGAGCAAACAGG
This 253-nucleotide ribosomal RNA is filed under the name uncultured bacterium. RNAcentral's name for it is "partial 16S ribosomal RNA". It matches the Rfam family "Bacterial small subunit ribosomal RNA", at positions 524 to 776 of the family's 1533-position model. The record is from RNAcentral.